AGAAGGGCGGGCAUCUAUUUUUAUCCAAAAUUUCUUCCUCUUUUUACCCUAGAUUUCAUAGUUUUGUGGGAACCAUUUUGAACGGCCGUCUGGAAAAUCCCCUUUCUCACAGACCACAGUUGAAGGUUCUCAGAUGAAAAUCCCCUUUCUCACAGUUGAAGGUUCUCAGAUGAAAAAUCCCCUUUCUUGCGAUUCCUAUAGAAUGUCGACUCGGAACUGACCGGCGGUGCCCGCGUCAUCUGGUGCCGUGUUUGUGAUUGAGAAGGAGCGUGCUUUGGGAGAGGGAGAGUGGAGAAUCGAGAAUACGAAGUUGGGUUUCUUUGGGGUUUGUGUUUGUGUUCAAACCUAAUUGCAUCUAUUUCGCAGAUGGUGCCUUCAGUAUGCCAGUAGAGCAAAAGGAGUUGGGGGUAUACGAUAUCGCAAAUCAGACUGUCGGUUCAGUCGCUCUCUCUAUUCCUUUUGACGAUGAUGAACAAUGCUACCGAUGGUUCACAACGCAAAUAUAAGUAUGCGUUAUUUGUUUUUGUAGUAGCUGUAACUGCCUCUAGGUUUUCAAAAAAUAUGUGCAUUCUAUCUGUUUGAUUGAAUGCCGCUUAGACGUUCUUGUCUUUUUUAUUGGAUUCCAGUUUUUCGUUCCA
Corylus avellana is the source of this 638-nucleotide non-coding RNA. The record is from RefSeq and is a predicted model, not a curated record. Lineage: Eukaryota; Viridiplantae; Streptophyta; Magnoliopsida; Fagales; Betulaceae.